Tarenaya hassleriana is the source of this 415-nucleotide long non-coding RNA. RefSeq lists it as uncharacterized. The transcript is spliced from 2 exons. NCBI's taxonomy places the organism in Eukaryota, Viridiplantae, Streptophyta, Magnoliopsida, Brassicales, Cleomaceae. The record is from RefSeq and is a predicted model, not a curated record.
GGUAUCUAUCAACCUAUCAAGGAAAACAUCUUUCUCUAGGAAAUUUGGUAUACGGAAACCAUGAACUCAAACAAAACUUUUCUUGUGGUUCUCUGCCUCAUCGUUGUCUCAUGUGUUCCAAUUUCAGAGGCAGUGUCGUGCACCAAGAAUGAAGAUUGCCAAUUCAUAAAAUGUCCGACCCUCAAGAUCUGUUUCUUCGGUGCAUGUAUCUGCCUCCCGUAUUCCGAAAAAGACGCUUUUACCCUCCACGGCACCCAGCUGUCUCAAUGCGUUGUGUCCUGUAAGAGUAAGGGUAAAUCUGUCAUUUCAGUCUCCGAUGAUAAGUGCCAGUGCGGUUGAUUCGCCAUGUACCUGUUUUUGAAGCUGUCAAUAAAACUCGUUGAAUGUAGUUAUAGAUCGCCUUCCCCUUUUUUUU